RNAcentral lists this ribosomal RNA (495 nucleotides) under uncultured bacterium. Its description in RNAcentral is "partial 16S ribosomal RNA". It matches the Rfam family "Bacterial small subunit ribosomal RNA", at positions 29 to 507 of the family's 1533-position model. The record is from RNAcentral.
AUGAACGCUAGCGGCGUGCCUAAUACAUGCAAGUCGAGCGAACAGACGAGGAGCUUGCUCCUCUGACGUUAGCGGCGGACGGGUGAGUAACACGUGGAUAACCUACCUAUAAGACUGGGAUAACUUCGGGAAACCGGAGCUAAUACCGGAUAAUAUAUUGAACCGCAUGGUUCAAUAGUGAAAGACGGUUUUGCUGUCACUUAUAGAUGGAUCCGCGCCGCAUUAGCUAGUUGGUAAGGUAACGGCUUACCAAGGCGACGAUGCGUAGCCGACUGAGAGGGUGAUCGGCCACACUGGAACUGAGACACGGUCCAGACUCCUACGGGAGGCAGCAGUAGGGAAUCUUCCGCAAUGGGCGAAAGCCUGACGGAGCAACGCCGCGUGAGUGAUGAAGGUCUUCGGAUCGUAAAACUCUGUUAUUAGGGAAGAACAAAUGUGUAAGUAACUAUGCACGUCUUGACGGUACCUAAUCAGAAAGCCACGGCUAACUACGUG